This 949-nucleotide ribosomal RNA is filed under the name Lacticaseibacillus paracasei. RNAcentral's name for it is "Lactobacillus paracasei partial 16S ribosomal RNA". It matches the Rfam family "Bacterial small subunit ribosomal RNA", at positions 440 to 1383 of the family's 1533-position model. Lineage: Bacteria; Bacillati; Bacillota; Bacilli; Lactobacillales; Lactobacillaceae. The record is from RNAcentral.
UNGAGNNNAAUGGUCGNCAGAGUAACNGNNNNNGCGUGACGGUAUCCAACCAGAAANNCACGGCUAANUACGUGCCAGCAGCCGCGGUAAUACGUAGGUGGCAAGCGUUAUCCGGAUUUAUUGGGCGUAAAGCGAGCGCAGGCGGUUUUUUAAGUNUGAUGUGAAAGCCCUCGGCUUAACCGAGGAAGCGCAUCGGAAACUGGGAAACUNGAGUGCAGAAGAGGACAGUGGAACUCCAUGUGUAGCGGUGAAAUGCGUAGAUAUAUGGAAGAACACCAGUGGCGAAGGCGGCUGUCUGGUCUGUAACUGACGCUGAGGCUCGAAAGCAUGGGUAGCGAACAGGAUUAGAUACCCUGGUAGUCCAUGCCGUAAACGAUGAAUGCUAGGUGUUGGAGGGUUUCCGCCCUUCAGUGCCGCAGCUAACGCAUUAAGCAUUCCGCCUGGGGAGUACGACCGCAAGGUUGAAACUCAAAGGAAUUGACGGGGGCCCGCACAAGCGGUGGAGCAUGUGGUUUAAUUCGAAGCAACGCGAAGAACCUUACCAGGUCUUGACAUCUUUUGAUCACCUGAGAGAUCAGGUUUCCCCUUCGGGGGCAAAAUGACAGGUGGUGCAUGGUUGUCGUCAGCUCGUGUCGUGAGAUGUUGGGUUAAGUCCCGCAACGAGCGCAACCCUUAUGACUAGUUGCCAGCAUUUAGUUGGGCACUCUAGUAAGACUGCCGGUGACAAACCGGAGGAAGGUGGGGAUGACGUCAAAUCAUCAUGCCCCUUAUGACCUGGGCUACACACGUGCUACAAUGGAUGGUACAACGAGUUGCGAGACCGCGAGGUCAAGCUAAUCUCUUAAAGCCAUUCUCAGUUCGGACUGUAGGCUGCAACUCGCCUACACGAAGUCGGAAUCGCUAGUAAUCGCGGNUCANCNCGCCNCGGUGAAUACGUUCCCGGNCCNUU